Molecule: ribosomal RNA, 498 nt
Filed under: uncultured bacterium
Lineage: Bacteria
Description: partial 16S ribosomal RNA
Rfam family: Bacterial small subunit ribosomal RNA
Source: RNAcentral
AUUGAACGCUGGCGGCGUGCUUAACACAUGCAAGUCGAUCGGUAGCGCGGGGCAACCUGGCGACGAGAGGCGGACGGGUGAGUAACGCUUGGGAAUCUGCCUAUUAGUGGGGGACAACCCGGGGAAACUCGGGCUAAUACCGCAUACGCUACACGGAGGAAAGCAGGGGAUCGCAAGACCUUGCGCUAAUAGAUGAGCCCAAGUCGGAUAAGCUAGUUGGUAGGGGAACGGCCUACCAAGGCGACGAUCCGUAGCUGGUCUGAGAGGACGACCAGCCACACUGGGACUGAGACACGGCCCAGACUCCUACGGGAGGCGGCGGUGGGGAAUAUUGGACAAUGGGGGAAACCCUGAUCCAGCGACGCCGCGUGGGUGAAGAAGGCCUGCGGGUUGUAAAGCCCUUUCGGUAGGGAAGAAAAGCCUCGACCUAACACGUCGGGGUAUUGACGUAACCUACAAAAGAAGCACCGGCUAACUCUGUGCCAGCAGCCGCGGUAA